GGUCGGUUGAUUAGACCUUAAAUAGUCAAUUCGUGGCGGAUGGUUACACGCCUUAAAUAACCUA
Molecule: regulatory RNA element, 64 nt
Organism: Lachnospiraceae bacterium CAG:364
Lineage: Bacteria; Bacillati; Bacillota; Clostridia; Lachnospirales; Lachnospiraceae
Rfam family: GP20-b RNA
Source: Rfam